Molecule: transfer RNA, 77 nt
Filed under: Verrucomicrobia bacterium TMED56
Lineage: Bacteria; Pseudomonadati; Verrucomicrobiota
Description: tRNA-Pro
Rfam family: tRNA
About the family: Transfer RNA (tRNA) molecules are approximately 80 nucleotides in length. Their secondary structure includes four short double-helical elements and three loops (D, anti-codon, and T loops).
Source: RNAcentral
CUGGGUGUAGCGAAGCCUGGUAUCGCAUCUGCUUUGGGAGCAGAGGAUCGGAGGUUCAAAUCCUCCCACCCAGACCA